Molecule: ribosomal RNA, 253 nt
Filed under: uncultured bacterium
Lineage: Bacteria
Description: partial 16S ribosomal RNA
Rfam family: Bacterial small subunit ribosomal RNA
Source: RNAcentral
UACGAAGGGGGCUAGCGUUGUUCGGAAUCACUGGGCGUAAAGCGCACGUAGGCGGAUUUCUAAGUCAGGGGUGAAAUCCUGGAGCUCAACUCCAGAACUGCCUUUGAUACUGGGAAUCUCGAGUCCGGGAGAGGUGAGUGGAACUGCGAGUGUAGAGGUGAAAUUCGUAGAUAUUCGUAAGAACACCAGUGGCGAAGGCGGCUCACUGGCCCGGUACUGACGCUGAGGUGCGAAAGCGUGGGGAGCAAACAGG